CCUUCGGGUAAUGAGGAUGGCGGACGGGUGAGUAACGCGUAAGGAACUUGCCUCUUGGUCUGGGACAACUGUUGGAAACGACAGCUAAUACCGGAUAUUAUGAGAUUCUCGCAUGGGAAGCUUAUGAAAGCUAUAUGCGCCAAGAGAGAGCCUUGCGUUCCAUUAGCUAGUUGGUGGGGUAACGGCCCACCAAGGCGACGAUGGAUAGCCGGCCUGAGAGGGUGAACGGCCACAAGGGGACUGAGACACGGCCCUUACUCCUGCGGGAGGCAGCAGUGGGGAAUAUUGGACAAUGGGCCACAAGCCUGAUCCAGCAAUUCUGUGUGCACGAUGAAGGUCUUCGGAUUGUAAAGUGCUUUCAGUUGGGAAGAAGAAAGUGACGGUACCAACAGAAGAAGCGACGGCUAAAUACGUGCCAGCAGCCGCGGUAAUACGUAUGUCGCAAGCGUUAUCCGGAUUUAUUGGGCGUAAAGCGCGUCUAGGCGGAAAAAUAAGUCUGAUGUUAAAAUGCGGGGCUCAACUCCGUAUUGCGUUGGAAACUGUUUUUCUAGAGUACUGGAGAGGUGGGCGGAACUACAAGUGUAGAGGUGAAAUUCGUAGAUAUUUGUAGGAAUGCCGAUGGAGAAGUCAGCUCACUGGACAGAUACUGACGCUGAAGCGCGAAAGCGUGGGGAGCAAACAGGAUUAGAUACCCUGGUAGUCCACGCCGUAAACGAUGAUCACU
Molecule: ribosomal RNA, 724 nt
Filed under: uncultured bacterium
Lineage: Bacteria
Description: bacterial SSU rRNA
Rfam family: Bacterial small subunit ribosomal RNA
Source: RNAcentral